GGUAUUGAAAUAAGAUUUUAAAUGAGUGCUAAGAGAAUGAUUAAACAAUUAAAAACUUUCUUUAAUUAAAUAAUUAAAUUUAAUUUUUUUGUGCAAAAGCAAAAAUAAAAUUUAGGGACAAGAAGACCCUAUGAAUUUUUAUUAUUAAUAUUUUGCAAUUAAAUUAUUAAUAAUUUAAUUGGGGCGAUAAAAAAAGAAUAAAUAUCUUUUUAAUUAUUAAAUAAGUUCCGUUUUUAGCGAUUAAAUGAAAAAAAUACUCUAGGGAUAACAGCGUAAUAAUUUUGGAUAGUUCAUAUAGAUAAAAUAGUUUGCGACCUCGAUGUUGGAUUAGGAUUCUUUUUUGGUGUAGAA
Molecule: ribosomal RNA, 351 nt
Filed under: Ixodes scapularis (black-legged tick)
Lineage: Eukaryota; Metazoa; Arthropoda; Arachnida; Ixodida; Ixodidae
Description: partial 16S ribosomal RNA
Source: RNAcentral